Long non-coding RNA from Carassius auratus (goldfish), 243 nucleotides. RefSeq lists it as uncharacterized. The record is from RefSeq and is a predicted model, not a curated record. Lineage: Eukaryota; Metazoa; Chordata; Actinopteri; Cypriniformes; Cyprinidae. The transcript has 3 exons.
UUUCUACUUUGCCUUCAUCGUAACAUAAGGCCCUUUGGGAUAUGAGAGACCGUCCCAACGUUGAUGUGGACCAACAGAUUCUCUCUCAGCUAUCGGACUACAGUUGGAAGCAGCUUUUCUGCUCUUGCCUGCACUGUUUAAGGAGGACCCGGGGUUGCUGUUUGAAGUUGAGGGACAUGCUCAGACCUGCCCUCCUGACACACCAACACCUAAAAUGGUGCUCAAAGGCAGCAGGGAGGGUCA